AUUAUCUUUCUUCCUCCGUUCAUACGUAUUUCAUACAUUCCAGAUAUGGAGUUGGGUAAAAUUUCAUGUGAUUCGGUAAACAAAAUAGAAAUGCCAUCAUUGCUAGAUCAUUUAUCUAAUCUAUCUAAUUAGAUGAAGAACGAACCAAUAGUGGUAUUUUUUAAUAAAUGGGAAAUUAAAAAUGCUCGGGGAUGGAAAUGAGGGAAUAUCUACAAUACCUGGAUUUAAUCAGAUACAAUUUGAAGGAUUUUGUAGGUUCAUAUUAUUUGAUAAAUGGGAAAUUAAUAAUGCUCGGGUAUGGAAAUGAGGGAAUAUCUACAAUACCUGGAUUUAAUAAGAUACAAUUUGAAGGAUUUU
RNAcentral lists this long non-coding RNA (357 nucleotides) under Nicotiana benthamiana. Its description in RNAcentral is "long non-coding RNA (NBEN_LNC015227)". The record is from RNAcentral. Lineage: Eukaryota; Viridiplantae; Streptophyta; Magnoliopsida; Solanales; Solanaceae.